UACGUAGGGUGCGAGCGUUGUCCGGAAUUAUUGGGCGUAAAGGGCUCGUAGGCGGUCUGUUGCGUCGGUAGUGAAAACUCAGGGCUUAACCCUGAGCCUGCUUCCGAUACGGGCAGACUAGAGGUAUGCAGGGGAGAACGGAAUUCCUGGUGUAGCGGUGAAAUGCGCAGAUAUCAGGAGGAACACCGGUGGCGAAGGCGGUUCUCUGGGCAUUACCUGACGCUGAGGAGCGAAAGUGGGGGAGCGAACAGG
Molecule: ribosomal RNA, 252 nt
Filed under: uncultured bacterium
Lineage: Bacteria
Description: partial 16S ribosomal RNA
Rfam family: Bacterial small subunit ribosomal RNA
Source: RNAcentral